This 730-nucleotide ribosomal RNA is filed under the name uncultured Bacilli bacterium. Its description in RNAcentral is "bacterial SSU rRNA". It matches the Rfam family "Bacterial small subunit ribosomal RNA", at positions 49 to 738 of the family's 1533-position model. Lineage: Bacteria; Bacillati; Bacillota; Bacilli. The record is from RNAcentral.
UAAUACAUGCAAGUCGAACGCACUCUCGUUUAGAUUGAAGGAGCUUGCUCCUGAUUGAUAAACAUUUGAGUGAGUGGCGGACGGGUGAGUAACACGUGGGUAACCUGCCCUAAAGUGGGGGAUAACAUUUGGAAACAGAUGCUAAUACCGCAUAAAACCUAACACCGCAUGGUGUAGGGUUGAAAGAUGGUUUCGGCUAUCACUUUAGGAUGGACCCGCGGUGCAUUAGUUAGUUGGUGAGGUAAAGGCUCACCAAGACCGUGAUGCAUAGCCGACCUGAGAGGGUAAUCGGCCACACUGGGACUGAGACACGGCCCAGACUCCUACGGGAGGCAGCAGUAGGGAAUCUUCCACAAUGGACGAAAGUCUGAUGGAGCAACGCCGCGUGAGUGAAGAAGGUUUUCGGAUCGUAAAACUCUGUUGUUUGAGAAGAAUGUAUCUGAUAGUAACUGAUCAGGUAGUGACGGUAUCCAACCAGAAAGCCACGGCUAACUACGUGCCAGCAGCCGCGGUAAUACGUAGGUGGCAAGCGUUGUCCGGAUUUAUUGGGCGUAAAGCGAGCGCAGGCGGUUUCUUAAGUCUGAUGUGAAAGCCUUCGGCUCAACCGAAGAAGUGCAUCGGAAACUGGGAAACUUGAGUGCAGAAGAGGACAGUGGAACUCCAUGUGUAGCGGUGAAAUGCGUAGAUAUAUGGAAGAACACCAGUGGCGAAGGCGGCUGUCUGGUCUGUA